Non-coding RNA from Hordeum vulgare subsp. vulgare (domesticated barley), 135 nucleotides. Lineage: Eukaryota; Viridiplantae; Streptophyta; Magnoliopsida; Poales; Poaceae. The record is from Rfam.
AUAUUACUCCCUUUGAUCCAUAUUACUUGUCUUAGAUUAGUCUAGAUAUGGAUGUAUGCAACACUAAAACGUGUCUAAAUACAUCUGUAUCUAGACAAAUCUAAGACAAUUAAUAUGGAUUGGAGGGAGUGCAAC